This is a long non-coding RNA of Oxyura jamaicensis (ruddy duck), 233 nucleotides long. RefSeq lists it as uncharacterized. The transcript has 2 exons. The record is from RefSeq and is a predicted model, not a curated record. Lineage: Eukaryota; Metazoa; Chordata; Aves; Anseriformes; Anatidae.
ACUUCUGGAGUCCCAGCCCCAUUUCUGCACCGUUUGGCUCUGGGGACCAUGAGGUGGCGCAGUUACCCCGAAUAUCAGCCCGCAGCCGGCUGCACCCCGGCCAGGGAAUAGGUGAGGUUCUGCGGGACAGAAAUUAGCAACCAAGCGGAGUGUGCUCUGCUAUUAGCAAGUGUGUCGCUUGCCGAGAUCCCUUUCCUCUCCUUUUUUCUUUUUCAUAUAAGGCUUAAAAAAAA